This 534-nucleotide ribosomal RNA is filed under the name Triticum aestivum (bread wheat). Its description in RNAcentral is "partial small subunit ribosomal RNA". Lineage: Eukaryota; Viridiplantae; Streptophyta; Magnoliopsida; Poales; Poaceae. The record is from RNAcentral.
AUGCAGAUUGUGGCCGGCUGGUGGUGUGCGUCACCGUGCAGGGAUAGAAUCGCCGGGGAUGCAGUCUCGUCGCUGCCAUCAUGCUCGAGGAAACAUGGCAUUUACCAUUAUCUGCACCGCCCGCAGGCAGCUCCGGCGGAGGCCACACGCUUGACCCAGGCAAAGAUCUCCAUCGCUGUGGCCAACAAUGCGUCGGCGCGGUCGGCGCGGUCACCGCUUGCGUCCAAGCAGGAGCACACACUGGAGUCCAGACUCCAGAGCUCCCGCAGAGCACGCCUUCGCGAAAUACUGUGCGGCAGCUGUCUCUUCCUCCUCUCUGUGUUGCGUCCGUGCCUCUGGCCUGACGCGUCCUGCUGCUGCUUCGCGUAUCUGCAUCCUGUGUGGUGUAUAGCCUUGAUGUGUGCGGGCCAACCAACUCGCCGGCGACGUGCUCAACUCUACAUGGAGAUAACCACGUCUGCUUGGCGGUGGCUCUCCACGCUAGCGCCCGUUCCUUCUUCACCCGACGACGAUGGUAGCGCCGUGAUCGCAUAG